CGUCGCCACGACGUUCGCCGGAGUUCACAGUUGGACAUGCACUAGAAAAAGCGCAAUGGCGCUGCUCCCCUGGAAGGUGCCACGGCCAAAGGUUGAAGAAGACGUCUUCAAUGGGAGCGGUAUCAGCGGAGCGGUUAGCUGAUGGUUUGAAUUUGAAUGAUUUUGGUAUGGAUGCAAGUCAGGCGAUAUUCUGGGAUUCUCAUGCGGAUCCUGUGCUGGAAUCAAGGAAUGUUGGCUUAAUUAGUGCUUGUCCCCGUUGGAAUGGGAGGGCCCAACAUAUGAUUCUCAGUCCUAGGAUUCCUUAUAGGCCAACUGCUGGGCUGGCUUCCUUGUUCUCCCGCUCAGGCACCAGUUCUUCUGCUGCCAGGGCGGUUCACAUUUCCUCCCGGGGUGUGGCUCCUGGCACCUUCGUCGAGGCUGUAAGGAACGCAAUGGCGCCGGUUGGUGAUACUGGAGGGCGUGGAGGCAGUCGCGGCCAGCAUCAGUCCGAGGGCGCUGCAGGUUUUUCCACCGGUCAGCAACUGCUUGGGGGCACGGGAGGA
RNAcentral lists this unclassified non-coding RNA (542 nucleotides) under Zea mays. RNAcentral describes it as "misc RNA Zm00001eb224030". The record is from RNAcentral. Lineage: Eukaryota; Viridiplantae; Streptophyta; Magnoliopsida; Poales; Poaceae.